UACGUAGGUGGCAAGCGUUGUCCGGAUUUACUGGGCGUAAAGCGUAUGCAGGCGGAAGGUUAAGUAGGAAGUGAAAGGGUGGAGCUCAACUCCGCCACUGCUCCCUAUACUGGCCUUCUUGAGUGCCGGAGAGGAAGAUGGAACUCCACGUGUAGCGGUGAAAUGCGUUGAGAUGUGGAGGAACACCAAUGGCGAAAGCAAUCUUCUGGACGGAAACUGACGCUGAGAUACGAAAGCCAAGGGAGCGAACAG
This 252-nucleotide ribosomal RNA is filed under the name uncultured bacterium. RNAcentral describes it as "partial 16S ribosomal RNA". It matches the Rfam family "Bacterial small subunit ribosomal RNA", at positions 524 to 775 of the family's 1533-position model. The record is from RNAcentral.